GCUCAGGAUGAACGCUGGCGGCGUGCUUAACACAUGCAAGUCGGACGAUGAAGCCCUUCGGGGUGGAUUAGUGGCGAACGGGUGAGUAACACGUGAGCAACCUGCCCUUGACUCUGGGAUAAGCCUGGGAAACUGGGUCUAAUACCGGAUAGGACCUCCUGCCGCAUGGUGGGGGGUGGAAAGCCUUGUGCGGUCUUGGAUGGGCUCGCGGCCUAUCAGCUUGUUGGUGGGGUGAUGGCCUACCAAGGCGACGACGGGUAGCCGGCCUGAGAGGGUGACCGGCCACACUGGGACUGAGACACGGCCCAGACUCCUACGGGAGGCAGCAGUGGGGAAUAUUGCACAAUGGGCGGAAGCCUGAUGCAGCGACGCCGCGUGGGGGAUGACGGCCUUCGGGUUGUAAACCCCUUUCGGCAGGGAACAAGCCUUUCGGGGUGAGGGUACCUGCGGAAGAAGCGCCGGCUAACUACGUGCCAGCAGCCGCGGUAAUACGUAGGGCGCGAGCGUUAUCCGGAAUUAUUGGGCGUAAAGAGCUCGUAGGCGGUUUGUCGCGUCUGCUGUGAAAGCCCGGGGCUCAACCCCGGGUCUGCAGUGGGUACGGGCAGGCUGGAGUGCAGUAGGGGAGACUGGAAUUCCUGGUGUAGCGGUGAAAUGCGCAGAUAUCAGGAGGAACACCGAUGGCGAAGGCAGGUCUCUGGGCUGUAACUG
This 708-nucleotide ribosomal RNA is filed under the name Arthrobacter sp. SMCC B0611. RNAcentral describes it as "bacterial SSU rRNA". It matches the Rfam family "Bacterial small subunit ribosomal RNA", at positions 22 to 742 of the family's 1533-position model. The record is from RNAcentral. Lineage: Bacteria; Bacillati; Actinomycetota; Actinomycetes; Micrococcales; Micrococcaceae.